This 752-nucleotide long non-coding RNA is filed under the name Gorilla gorilla gorilla (western lowland gorilla). RNAcentral's name for it is "lncRNA (ENSGGOG00000044450.1)". The record is from RNAcentral. Lineage: Eukaryota; Metazoa; Chordata; Mammalia; Primates; Hominidae.
GCAAAGGUCAGAGGGACUGGCCAUAGGCACAUGUGAAGCUUUCUUGCCAAUCUUCAUUGAACUCACACUUCAAAAGUCAUGGUUUUCUCUGUUUUAUUGUAAUUUUCUGUUUUAUUAUAAAGAAGAUUGCAGAAAAGAGGCAGAAUAGGAGAGCUGAAAGACAAAAAGAGUAUCUAAACAACAGAGGACACAUACUGGAAUCUCUGGAGCUCAUCCCUUCAGAGGGUCCUUCCCAGAAGAACUGUAUCUCCACUACCUCGGUUCUCUGGAAUAAAUUACAACCUUAUGAUUCACGAGUCCAAACAGGACAGUCUUUACGUCUACCCAUCUUAUAAUUGAUGUGGCUUUCAAGGAACAACAAAACCUAAGCAAAUUAUGGGAACAAGCAUUUAUCAACCACGCAAAUGAAGCCAUUCUUUAGUUUUUCUACACCAGGAGUUCCAAAGUCAAGCUACAUUCAAAGAGAGAAACAACACAUUGGAUACUCAAGUUAUGAACCGUCAGAAGAGUCAGAAAUUCCUUAUAGGAUAGAACAUGUGCAAUUGAAAUCUAAUAUUAAGUUUUCUGUGGAAAAAAACAUAUAUGUGUACUAUAUGGCUAUCUGAUCAUUUUAAAAACAUACUCAGAAUACUUUAAUAAAACACUGUGAGUAUGAAUUAUCUAUGCUCUAAACACUUUACUUCUCUUUCUGCAUUUAUGCCAUCACUUCUUAUCUCUUUAUACCUUGAACUUUUUCUUUCCCCCCUCUCUCA